GCGCCCGUAGCUCAAUUGGAUGGAGCGUUUGACUACGGAUCAAGAGGUUAGGGGUUCGACUCCUCUCGGGCGCGCCA
Molecule: transfer RNA, 77 nt
Filed under: Bacillus thuringiensis
Lineage: Bacteria; Bacillati; Bacillota; Bacilli; Caryophanales; Bacillaceae
Description: tRNA-Arg
Rfam family: tRNA
About the family: Transfer RNA (tRNA) molecules are approximately 80 nucleotides in length. Their secondary structure includes four short double-helical elements and three loops (D, anti-codon, and T loops). Further hydrogen bonds mediate the characteristic L-shaped molecular structure. tRNAs have two regions of fundamental functional importance: the anti-codon, which is responsible for specific mRNA codon recognition, and the 3' end, to which the tRNAs corresponding amino acid is attached (by aminoacyl-tRNA synthetases). tRNAs cope with the degeneracy of the genetic code in two manners: having more than one tRNA (with a specific anti-codon) for a particular amino acid; and 'wobble' base-pairing, i.e. permitting non-standard base-pairing at the 3rd anti-codon position.
Source: RNAcentral